RNAcentral lists this ribosomal RNA (253 nucleotides) under uncultured bacterium. Its description in RNAcentral is "partial 16S ribosomal RNA". It matches the Rfam family "Bacterial small subunit ribosomal RNA", at positions 524 to 776 of the family's 1533-position model. The record is from RNAcentral.
UACGUAGGGGGCAAGCGUUGUCCGGAAUUAUUGGGCGUAAAGAGCGCGUAGGCGGUCCGGUAAGUCGGCUGUGAAAGUCAAGGGCUCAACCCUUGAAAGCCGGCCGAUACUGUCGGACUAGAGUCCGGAAGAGGCGAGUGGAAUUCCCGGUGUAGCGGUGAAAUGCGCAGAUAUCGGGAGGAACACCAAUGGCGAAGGCAGCUCGCUGGGACGGUACUGACGCUGAGGCGCGAAAGCUAGGGGAGCAAACAGG